CCAGUAAACCCUUCCUUAGAACCAUUAUUCUUCUUCAUCGCAACAAUCUUCUUCUUCUUCAAUGCAAACAAUCUUCUUUUUUUCACUGCAAUCAAUCGAAUUCUUUAUUGCACCUUCAUCACCUUCUAAACUAUCUCACGCGAAAUUCAACUUCUCUCUCACUCGAUUCAAUCGUUCAACACGAUCUCGAAUUCCCUCUCAAUCUCUCACAAUUGAACUCGUCCUCUCUCUCUCACUCGAAAUUUAACCAUCUCUCACGCUGAAACCCUAAGAUGCUCAAGCGAAAUUGAACAAUCUCUCACUCGAACUCGUCCUCUCUCUCUCACACUCGUUCUCUCGAACUCCUCAUCUCAGAUUCGCUCAAACUUCAUCGUCUUCUUCAGGUUCUCCAGAUUCGUUCAAGCUUCAGGUUCAACAUUCACUAAACUUGUGUUUUUUAACAUGAUUAAUGUUUGAGUUAAUUUGAUUUUGGAUUAAAAUUUGAAUGAGAAGUUAUUUUGUAGUUUGAGCCAAUUAGGAUUAGGAUUUUGAUUUUGUAGUUUGACCUAAUUAGGAUUUUGUUGUUUUAGGUUAUUUAAUGAACUUGUUGAUAUUUUGCUAUUAAGACACAAUCCUUGCCAAUCCUUGUUGAUAUUUUGUGAUUUGAUUUAAAAUGGUUCAAAUUUGGUUUUGGUGUUGGUUUUGUUCAUUUGGGUAUGUAUGUUUUUUCUCAGUAUUUGUAAAUGUUUGUGAUUUGGUAAAAUUGGAUUGUUUUAUGAUUUGUGACAAAGAUGUUUUGGUUGGUAUAAGUGCUUUUGCUUGAUUUCUACUUCUUUGUCUGCUCUCAAAAGGUGAGAAAGUGUUAUUUUAGAUUCUUUUUAUUUACUAGAUUCUUAAUAAAACAGUGUUCCUCUAUUUCUGUUUGGAUCCUUGAAACUAGUGGCAUAUACUUUCCCUUUUUUCCACAAUCUUAUUGACUUACCUUGUUUUUCAAAACCUCAUUUUCUAUUAAACCAUAUAGAAUAUUUGACAUAAUGUUGACUUACCUUGUUUCAUGCUUUCUAAUGCUGUGAUUUGUUAUGGUUUAGGCUCUAUAAACUUGAUUUGUUUUGUGGUUUUGGCCUUGAUUCAAAGUUUAUGUUGUUUGAUUAAUUUUUCAGGCAAGGAAAGCUCUUAGUGC
RNAcentral lists this long non-coding RNA (1159 nucleotides) under Trifolium pratense (red clover). RNAcentral's name for it is "long non-coding RNA (TPRA_LNC003264)". Lineage: Eukaryota; Viridiplantae; Streptophyta; Magnoliopsida; Fabales; Fabaceae. The record is from RNAcentral.